AGCGCAGGCGGGAAGACAAGUUGGAAGUGAAAUCUAUGGGCUCAACCCAUAAACUGCUUUCAAAACUGUUUUUCUUUGAGUAGUGCAGAGGUAGGCGGAAUUCCCAGUGUAGCGGUGGAAUGCGUAGAUAUCGGGAGGAACACCAGUGGCGAAGGCGGCCUACUGGGCACCAACUGACGCUGAGGCUCGAAAGUGUGGGUAAGCAAACA
This 209-nucleotide ribosomal RNA is filed under the name uncultured bacterium. RNAcentral's name for it is "partial 16S ribosomal RNA". It matches the Rfam family "Bacterial small subunit ribosomal RNA", at positions 568 to 774 of the family's 1533-position model. The record is from RNAcentral.